Molecule: non-coding RNA, 98 nt
Filed under: Brevundimonas sp.
Lineage: Bacteria; Pseudomonadati; Pseudomonadota; Alphaproteobacteria; Caulobacterales; Caulobacteraceae
Description: Glycine sequence
Rfam family: Glycine riboswitch aptamer
About the family: This family represents the bacterial glycine riboswitch. Glycine riboswitches usually consist of two metabolite-binding aptamers domains with similar structures in tandem.
Source: RNAcentral
CAGGCUCUCGCGGGAGAGAUCGGGCGCUGGAAACAGGGUUCGACGCCGAAGGCGCAACCGCCCCGGAAACGCUCAGGCAAACGGACCGCGAAGCACAC